Molecule: ribosomal RNA, 417 nt
Filed under: uncultured bacterium
Lineage: Bacteria
Description: bacterial SSU rRNA
Rfam family: Bacterial small subunit ribosomal RNA
Source: RNAcentral
GAUGAACGCUGGCGAGAUGCCUUACACAUGCAAGUCGUACGAGAGUUUUUAACUCAAGUGGCGGACGGGUGAGUAACACGUAAGAAUUUGCCUUUAGGAGGGGGACAACAACUGGAAACGGUUGCUAAUACCCCAUAUGCUUUCGAGUGAAAUGGAUUUUCCGCCUAGAGAGAAGCUUGCGGCUGAUUAGCUUGUUGGUGAGGUAAUGGCUCACCAAGGCGACGAUCAGUAUCUGGUUUGAGAGGACGAUCAGACACACUGGAACUGAGACACGGUCCAGACUCCUACGGGAGGCAGCAGUGGGAAUCUUAGACAAUGGGCGCAAGCCUGAUCUAGCCAUGCCGCGUGAGUGAUGAAGGCCCUAGGGUCGUAAAGCUCUUUCGCCUGUGAAGAUAAUGACAGUAGCAGGUAAAGAAA